GAGGCCUUUUUAAAAGGCUAGUGGAAUGUUUAAUACGUUUCCCUUCAGGUACAUCUACAUGGCAAUAAUCCCAGAGCACCAUGACUCAGAGCCUGGGUCAAUUGACACCAGCUCAUGGAUCAGGCUGUGACCGGAGCCUGGAAUCAUAGACAACUUCCAUCGUGGAAUUACAGAGGUUGUGCUCCAUAUCGUGCCUGAAUAUCUACACUGCAAUGUUUAAUCCUGUGCCCCCACCCUGCAAAUCAGAAUCAGGAGGCUUGGGUCCUAUCUGGUCAUGCAAUGGGUCUUUUAUUGCAGUAUAUGUGUACCCUUCCUCUCAUUAUCAUGGUGUCUUUUAUACACAAGUUUUGGUUAAAUACAGGGAAGAUUUUCUAAGUCGCCAAUGUUUUGAAAUUAACUGGAUAUAAUGCUGUACUUAACAUUCAUUCAAAAAGAAUUCAAUAUAUUUUUAGUUUGGAAGCCAAUUGAGUAGAUGCUAUCACAGAUUCUUGUGUCACAAAAGCCUGUGUUCAACUCAAGCACAUCUGCAAUUCCAACUCCCUGAAUCUGUAACUCAUAAGUGAACAAUCUACUCCCAUCUUCAAGAUUUAUUAGGCUGUGACCACAUAUUAUUGACUUAAAAUAGUUACAAAGCAUUUAGCAACAAAAUGUGUCAACUCAGUUAGUUUUGUGCUUGAAUGCAAUCUGCAGGAACAGGAUGCAAGAAAAGAAGUUGCCUCUCUUUUAGCCCACUAUCAAAUCUGUGAAUUCUUUAUUGUCUCAAAAGUGUAAAAUGAAAUUCUCAAUUCACUUAAUUACUAACAAUUUAAUUUCUCUCUCUAAAAUUAAUCCAGGCAAAGAAGCAAAAUUUGAUCCUAAGAAGAUCCAGACCCUGUUUCUUACUGAACAAGAUGGAAAAGGAACACACAUGUGCCUCAUUGAGGAUUUUUUCCCAAAUGUUAUUAAGGUGACUUGGAAAAGUUCAAAUGAAGAGAAAAAUGCAAUACGUGGGGAAAUUUGGUCCCCGGAUGAUAAGCAAAACUCAUACUCAGUGAGUAGCUGGCUGACUGUUGAUGAUCCUAACAAGACAUAUAACCUCACAUAUGAACAUGAAAGCGGACGAGAUUCUAUCCUUCUCCAAUCCCAAGGCACCUCCAGAGCCAUAGAAGGUUGUAUCAACAUGCUGCCCGCAGAUCUUAAAAAUAGUUUCACACACACAACUGCAUAUUUAAUAUACAUCAUCCUUCUCCUGAAAAGCACCAUGUACUACGUCAUCGUACUCUUCUUCAUAUACAGAAUGAAAGACCCAAACAAGCACCAGGGAAAGAAACCUUAACUUUUACUUGCAUCUUCCUGCAUCAGCAUUUGGGUUUGAAAUUUACUUCGCUUUGCCAUGAGCCUGUUCAUCUGAAACACCUUGCUCUAAAUAUCAAGAUAUGCAUUUUAAUUGAAUUUUGUUGUUCUCUAAUUAGCACAGAUGGUUUUUCUUGAGCUAUUGGCUUUAUGGUUGAUCAUUUUUGUCUAUUCGUUUAAUUUUUUAACUGUGGAACUUAAAGGGCUGGGGCUACAUAUUGAUUUCAAUGGGAAUUUUGCAUCACAAAGAAGUCUUACAUCAGUCUCUUAGGCUACGUCUAGACUGGCAUGAUUUUCCGCAAAUGCUUUUAAUGGAAAAGUUUUCUG
This is a non-coding RNA of Pelodiscus sinensis (Chinese soft-shelled turtle), 1659 nucleotides long. Lineage: Eukaryota; Metazoa; Chordata; Testudines; Trionychidae. The record is from the annotation of a RefSeq genome assembly.